This is a long non-coding RNA of Oncorhynchus keta (chum salmon), 2217 nucleotides long. RefSeq lists it as uncharacterized. Lineage: Eukaryota; Metazoa; Chordata; Actinopteri; Salmoniformes; Salmonidae. The transcript is spliced from 5 exons. The record is from RefSeq and is a predicted model, not a curated record.
CUAGGUGUAGACUAGGUGUAGACUAGGUGUAGACGAGGUGUUACAUGUGCGGAAGGGGAGGUGUCAUGCAAACGCACGGAAUGCCCGGGACACAAGCUACUAAAUGCUGUUAUGAGCGAGGACCUAGGAAGAAUAAGUCCUCGGCCUCGACGAAGUCCCGCAAUGAAGAUGGUAAAUUAUACAAAUGGUCAAAAUUCAUAACUGUUAGUUGACUUACAAUUUUGUUUCACAAAAAAGGAAAAAGUGAAUAGCACAAGUAUUAUAGCAUUGGCCAUUAACUGCAUUAAAGGGAGUACCAAUAAAAGGAAUGAUUACACAGUAAUACCAAUAAAAUAAACCUGUAUCGUUCUACUGUUUAAUAUUGAUAAUUAUAAAAUACACUUUAGGAAACAUUGAAAUCCCAUUGUUAUUUCGUACUGCAGGAUGUUCAGUAGUUUCUUCAUAUUGGACAUGCAUAUUGGCGUCAUUGUAAAUAAGAAUUAGUUCUUUACCGACUUGCCUGGUUAAAAAAAAAAUGGCAUCUUACAAAAUGUCUAUGUUGUGUCAUAGUAAAAGGGGGAAGGGGUCCAUGUGUAGACUCAAGGACCAGAGGAGCCAAGGUAGGUGGGAAUGAGCAGGACCCACGGUUGGAGAAAAACAAUUAUUCAAUUGAUUUCCGAUUAAAUAUUUCAGGAUACAUGGCUUGUCUUGAAAUACAGUUGUCCACAGCAGUCCGUAACACUCAGGACACAAAAAUUACCAUUUAGGUUUGAACAUUUUUUUUAAUAAACUAAUAUCUUGUAGAAAUACUUUUAUUUGUAUUAUAAGAAGUAUAAUAUAUGUUCCAUAAUUAUUAAAUAACAAAAAUAAAAGGACAGGAUUUAUUCUGAACCGUUCCAAAAGUCCGUGACCCGGAAGUACUUUGUUAUUCUUGCCUGCUUCACAAUGGCGUUUAUUACCAAUGAUUGCCUGUUAUAUUGACAAGCUAUUCGAGUGACUGGAAAUACAUGUCCUCAAAGAUGGAAGGCAGGCGGGACCAUUCUAUCCAAUGAAACGGCAGAUACGCUGUGAACCACAGACCAUUGAGAUACAGGACUGACCUUUGUGUCCUUGCUAUAUUAAUUAACGUCUGUGACAACAUUUUAAAGUAGUUAAUUUUCUUCAUUGGCUGAUCGCUCCCAACGCAUGAAAACCCACCCAGUUGACUACUUUAAAAAUAAGGAAGCGCUCAAUGGCAAUGUCCAUGCUAAAACUGGUGAUAUCCAUGAUUAUCCCUUAUAUCUCUAUGACAACGGGCACAACUCCAAUAUAACGUACAUUGUUUUUCUCCAAAGUUGCCGGAAGGCCACAUGUGUGUCCACCUAUUAUCAGUGCAUUCGUAACAACUUAAUCAUUAUGAAACUUGAAUUCGAUCAAAUAAGCCUCAAGUAACAAAUGAGCAAUAAACAACAACCCCCUCCUCUCUCUCUCACUUCGUGGCCUUAUUGCAACGACCCUGUGUAAUAUUAGUGUUGGAGUAAAACCUCUCGCUUCGCCUCUUCCUCUCUGACACCAUACAGACUGGCGCUCAGACUAACUCCCCACAGAAGACCAUCCAGGUGGAAGUUGUUAGUUUAUAGCGACAAUGUUGUUGAUGGUUGGUUGGUUUGUUGGUUGUCUAGUCACGCUAUUUGUGGCGCAGGUCGCGGAGCCACACUGAAACAUCCUCUUUGAUAUUGGUACCAUGGUUUAAAAUGUCCGACUGACCAACUCACUGCUUCAACAUGGAUCCCAUCUUAUUUAGCUACAGAGGAACAAAUGCAACAUCGCAAACAGAUCCCAGGUGUGACAAGAAAAGACUGUGGAAUAACAGGCGGAACAGCCAUUCGUUCCACCCUGCCUCUGUUCACCCGGGGAGGAGGGUGGCGGUGGGGGCCGUAUGCUAGUGAAUAGGAAGAUGGAGACUGGGGAUAUAUGGUGAGUGUCAAUAAGAGUAAGUGACAAUCCAUGUCUUAUGAAGGAGGUGAAAUGUGACGAAAUCGGCUACAACAGUUAGGACAGGUCAGUGGUAGCCUGAUCCCAGAUCUGCUUGGACAGGUCAGUGGUAGCCUGAUCCCAGAUCUGCUUGGACAGGUCAGUGGUAGCCUGAUCCCAGAUCUGCUAGGACAGGUCAGUGGUAGCCUGAUCCCAGAUCUGCUUGGACAGGUCAGUGGUAGCCUGAUCCCAGAUCUGCUAGAACAGGUCUGUGGUAGCCUGAUU